Molecule: long non-coding RNA, 238 nt
Filed under: Populus tremula
Lineage: Eukaryota; Viridiplantae; Streptophyta; Magnoliopsida; Malpighiales; Salicaceae
Description: long non-coding RNA (PTRE_LNC001402)
Source: RNAcentral
CACAAUCUCCAUCAUCCUCCCCUGCAACCUCACCCUCCAAAUCACCACGAAAAGCCUCUGCCCCAGCACCAAGCACCGUGAAGCCACCGGCAUCUGCACCUUCACCUUUGACAACUCCACCACCCAGUGCAGAUGCACCAUCCCCCGUCACCACCACCUCUCCUCCUUCUCCUCCUACAGAGACCGCUCCUUCACCUUCCCCAACUGGUGUCCCAACUUCUACUAUCUCUGACACUCC